UGAAAAUUCACAGGUCAAUCAUAGCAAUGUUGGAAGUAAUUAUCUUACUUGAUUCCUCAUUGCAUGGUUUGAUGACGUUUGCGACAUCUUCGUCAUUUAUAAUAUCAUUUAUUAUAACCAUGGCUAAUUUAUCUCAAAGUUGCUGCCGCGGGACUUGUCUUGAUUGCGUGAUACAAAUAAUGUGGAUAAUACUACACGGAUCAAGACUAUUUGUGUACUUCCAACCAAUUCACCUAACGUACCUUCAAGUGGAAAAAACCAAGCAUCUUAUCUCAGAAUUUGCGUACCAGACGACCAAUAUGGGCGAAGAGAUUUCUAACAUGGAAAAAAUGAUAAUAAGCACUCUUAGUUUCAUACCGCCGAUAUUUACACCUCUUGGAUUGAUAACCCUUAAAAGAUCACUUAUUAUAACGGUUUUAAGUCUCGCAGUUUCAUAUGGCUUGGCAAUAGUUCAGUGAAAGUUUGCAGUCCCUUUUACCAAUUUAAAACACGAAUGUUGAUGUGUUUCCUAUCUGCACUUAUAUUGUG
Leptidea sinapis is the source of this 528-nucleotide long non-coding RNA. RefSeq lists it as uncharacterized. NCBI's taxonomy places the organism in Eukaryota, Metazoa, Arthropoda, Insecta, Lepidoptera, Pieridae. The record is from RefSeq and is a predicted model, not a curated record. The transcript has 4 exons.